Long non-coding RNA from Etheostoma spectabile (orangethroat darter), 148 nucleotides. RefSeq lists it as uncharacterized. The transcript has 3 exons. The record is from RefSeq and is a predicted model, not a curated record. NCBI's taxonomy places the organism in Eukaryota, Metazoa, Chordata, Actinopteri, Perciformes, Percidae.
AUCUCUUAUGUUUUUGCAAACUCUCCAGCAAAAUGUUUCUUCUUUUCCCGGUGCGGCGUCUGUCUUUGACGACAUAUUUAACGCUGUGUGACUCUCUGUGGUCUGUACACGGAGAAUCACACAGAUGUUUGUAGAGGCAAACCUGAUU